RNAcentral lists this ribosomal RNA (406 nucleotides) under uncultured bacterium. RNAcentral describes it as "partial 16S ribosomal RNA". It matches the Rfam family "Bacterial small subunit ribosomal RNA", at positions 30 to 526 of the family's 1533-position model. The record is from RNAcentral.
AUCGAACGCUGGCGGCAGGCCUAAUACAUGCAAGUCGAACGAGUGGCGGACGGGUAAGUAAUGUCUGGGAAACUGCCUGCUGGCGGGGGAUAACGACUGGAAACGGUAGCUAAUACCGCAUACACUCAGUGGCACGCAGCUGGGUUUAGCUUGUUGGUGGGGUAACGGCUCACCAAGCAGACGCUCCCUAGCCGAUCUGAGAGGGUGACCAGCCACGCUGGAACUGAGACACGGUCCAGACUCCUACGGGAGGCAGCAGUGGGGAAUGUUGCGCAAUGGGCGAAAGCCUGAUGCAGCCAUGCCGCGUGUAUGAAGAAGGCCUUCGGAUUGUAAAAUGCUUUCAGCGGGGAAGCGUUACCCGCAGAGGAAGCCCCGGCUAACUCCGUGCCAGCAGCCGCGGUAAUUC